CCUACGGGUGGCUGCAGUGGGGAAUUUUUCGCAAUGGGGGAAACCCUGACGAAGCAACGCCGCGUGGAGGAUGAAGGCCUUCGGGUCGUAAACUCCUGUCGACCGGGAAGAAUGCACUCGACCUAAUACGUCGAUGUGUUGACUGUACCGGUGGAGGAAGCCACGGCUAACUCUGUGCCAGCAGCCGCGGUAAUACAGAGGUGGCAAGCGUUGUUCGGAAUUACUGGGCGUAAAGGGCGCGUAGGCGGCCCGUCAAGUCCCGUGUGAAAGCCCCCGGCUCAACCGGGGAACGGCGCGGGAAACUAGCAGGCUUGAGUUCGGGAGAGGGAAGCGGAAUUCCGGGUGUAGCGGUGAAAUGCGCAGAUAUCCGGAGGAACACCGGUGGCGAAGGCGGCUUCCUGGACCGACACUGACGCUGAGGCGCGAAAGCUAGGGGAGCAAACGGGAUUAGAUACCCUAGUAGUC
RNAcentral lists this ribosomal RNA (465 nucleotides) under uncultured bacterium. RNAcentral's name for it is "bacterial SSU rRNA". It matches the Rfam family "Bacterial small subunit ribosomal RNA", at positions 338 to 795 of the family's 1533-position model. The record is from RNAcentral.